GGGAUCGUAGCUCAGCUGGGAUGAGCGUUCGCCUCACACGCGAAAGGUCAGGAGUUCGAGCCUCCUCGGUCCCACGA
RNAcentral lists this transfer RNA (77 nucleotides) under Stomatobaculum longum. Its description in RNAcentral is "tRNA-Val". It matches the Rfam family "tRNA". From Rfam's summary of the family: Transfer RNA (tRNA) molecules are approximately 80 nucleotides in length. Their secondary structure includes four short double-helical elements and three loops (D, anti-codon, and T loops). Lineage: Bacteria; Bacillati; Bacillota; Clostridia; Lachnospirales; Lachnospiraceae. The record is from RNAcentral.